GAUGAACGCUAGCUACAGGCUUAACACAUGCAAGUCGAGGGGAAACGAUAGAGAAAGCUUGCUUUUUCUAGGCGUCGACCGGCGCACGGGUGAGUAACGCGUAUCCAACCUGCCCACCACUUGGGGAUAACCUUGCGAAAGUAAGACUAAUACCCAAUGACGUCUCUAGAAGACAUCUGAAAGAGAUUAAAGAUUUAUCGGUGAUGGAUGGGGAUGCGUCUGAUUAGCUUGUUGGCGGGGUAACGGCCCACCAAGGCGACGAUCAGUAGGGGUUCUGAGAGGAAGGUCCCCCACAUUGGAACUGAGACACGGUCCAAACUCCUACGGGAGGCAGCAGUGAGGAAUAUUGGUCAAUGGACGAGAGUCUGAACCAGCCAAGUAGCGUGCAGGAUGACGGCCCUAUGGGUUGUAAACUGCUUUUAUAAGGGAAUAAAGUGAGUCUCGUGAGACUUUUUGCAUGUACCUUAUGAAUAAGGACCGGCUAAUCCGUG
RNAcentral lists this ribosomal RNA (491 nucleotides) under uncultured bacterium. RNAcentral's name for it is "bacterial SSU rRNA". It matches the Rfam family "Bacterial small subunit ribosomal RNA", at positions 28 to 507 of the family's 1533-position model. The record is from RNAcentral.